RNAcentral lists this long non-coding RNA (204 nucleotides) under Capsicum annuum. RNAcentral describes it as "long non-coding RNA (CANN_LNC006632)". The record is from RNAcentral. Lineage: Eukaryota; Viridiplantae; Streptophyta; Magnoliopsida; Solanales; Solanaceae.
AGGGGGGACACAAUCCUAUUACUCGUCUCAUAUUGAUCAUAACCCUACUUUCCCAACAUCGUUAUGUUACUCUGAUUCUUACCAAACCCCCCUUUUACUUUUCAUAAUCUCUAAUUACAUAAGUAAGCUCUUGAUAGAUUUUUGACCUAUUUCUUGUGGGAUCUACCCCAACCUAAUUGGGCUUUAUAUUUGACUAUCGAGCAC